UUCCUGAGUCCCAAGAAGGAAGCCUGGGAGAUGGGAUUGAUAGAAUUCAGUUUCAUCUGCUAGUCUUCUGCCAGUUCUCUGCAGACUGCAAGAAAGAUGAACUUGCUUGUCCCUCUCCUUUGGGUGGGAUCCCAAGCACCACGGCCCCUUGAAGACCUUCAGCUUUAGCAUCCACAUGCCCAAGGGCUCUUGCACGGCACUUAAGGGACUACAGACCAUGGAGGCUGGAGAGCGGGAGUCCUCCUGAGUCAGAGCAGGGAUAACAAGACUUUGCUGCGGUAACUGUCCCUCCCCUCAUCCUACCUGAUCUAAUACCCUUGGUCAUCUCUGAGGAUUUCCGUAAGAGAACCUGUGACAGUCCUUCCAAUGCUUCUUUCCUUCUUAAUCCAGGGAAAUGACUUUGCCCUUGGUCAUGGCCAUUUACCAUGAUUGCAGGUGACUUUCAGAGGGAGUGGAUGUUUGCACACAAGUUGGAACUCGAAGGAACUUCCGGUUCAAUCUCCAUCCUUUAGGUAAGGAAUUUUGAUUUGUGCCGGAAACCGGGACCUGUUGGCCAAAAGCAACCCCCCUCCUGAUACUGGGAACCUGAUACUGGGAACAAAACCACAUCACCCACGUAGGUAGCCUCCCAGCUCUUGGUGUGGCCAUGGGACUAAAGUUUUUUUCCAGUGCAGUGUGAGGGAGGAAGGAGCCCAUUCUAAACCCCCACACGUACUUCUCCGUGCUCUCCCUUCCAGCUGACCGGACCAUCACCCCCAGCAAGACCUUAGGAGCCAAGGGUUGGCGGGAGAAUCACUGUCAGCCUGGAUCCCUUCAUGACUAUGUGGAAGAGAGACGCCCUACUCACCCCUGUCCCCUACUGCAAGUGUGGUUUAUUGAAACACAGUUUUUGCACAAGUUAUAUGGGAUAAUGAGUCACCACUCACUGUAGAGCCUGGCAGGUGACAGAUGCUCGAGAAAUCUAGACCGAAUACACAUCUUCGUUCCUUGAGGGUUGUUGUGAUAUCUUAAUGAAAUAAUCAUUUUGGAGAGAGGUAUCAACAUGGAAAAGCUAAUUGCUGGAGGACUUCAGGUAUGGCUAAAGAAUAACCUGUGGAAUCAGACACACCUGGAUUUGAAUCUGGGGAAGGGCCCUCCCACCCCAGCAAGGUGACACCAGUGCUGAAACUGAACGGCAAGAAGGAGCCCGCCAGGUAAGGACCUUUGCGGGGAAGGGGACGAGAAAGCUCAAAGACCCUGAGCCUGGAUCGGACUAGUGAUCUGGGGGGGCAGAAGGAACACGCGGCAGGGCAGGGGGGCAGGAGGAAGCGCAGGCGAAAGCGAUGUUUGAAAGAGAGAGCAGAUAAAGCAGGG
Molecule: long non-coding RNA, 1353 nt
Organism: Lagenorhynchus albirostris (white-beaked dolphin)
Lineage: Eukaryota; Metazoa; Chordata; Mammalia; Artiodactyla; Delphinidae
Exons: 4
Source: RefSeq, a predicted model, not a curated record